Molecule: ribosomal RNA, 541 nt
Filed under: Lactococcus lactis
Lineage: Bacteria; Bacillati; Bacillota; Bacilli; Lactobacillales; Streptococcaceae
Description: bacterial SSU rRNA
Rfam family: Bacterial small subunit ribosomal RNA
Source: RNAcentral
UUUUGAGUUUGAUCGUGGCUCAGGACGAACGCUGGCGGCGUGCCUAAUACAUGCAAGUUGAGCGCUGAAGGUUGGUACUUGUACCGACUGGAUGAGCAGCGAACGGGUGAGUAACGCGUGGGGAAUCUGCCUUUGAGCGGGGGACAACAUUUGGAAACGAAUGCUAAUACCGCAUAAAAACUUUAAACACAAGUUUUAAGUUUGAAAGAUGCAAUUGCAUCACUCAAAGAUGAUCCCGCGUUGUAUUAGCUAGUUGGUGAGGUAAAGGCUCACCAAGGCGAUGAUACAUAGCCGACCUGAGAGGGUGAUCGGCCACAUUGGGACUGAGACACGGCCCAAACUCCUACGGGAGGCAGCAGUAGGGAAUCUUCGGCAAUGGACGAAAGUCUGACCGAGCAACGCCGCGUGAGUGAAGAAGGUUUUCGGAUCGUAAAACUCUGUUGGUAGAGAAGAACGUUGGUGAGAGUGGAAAGCUCAUCAAGUGACGGUAACUACCCAGAAAGGGACGGCUAACUACGUGCCAGCCGCCGCCGUAACACAA